AAUCCGCUUCUGUGGCUCCUCUCCCGCAACUACGGUCCCCAAUCCGCAGGUGCGAAAAUAUCAGAAGCAACAAAUUCAGCAGCUGCAACCAAAAUCCAACUUCUCCGUUAACCUAUCCGAAAUUAUCCCGAGGCCCCCAGGACCUCAACCAAAAACACAAACAUAUCCUAAUACCUUAUCCAAACUUGUUCUGACCAUCAAAUCACCCAAAACACAUCGGAUUCAAGCCAAACUUUCAAAAAAAUUCCAAAUUCCACUUUUGAUCAAAAACCCAACCAAACCACGUCCGAAUGACCUGAAAAUUUUCACACACCUCCCGAAUGACCCAACGGAACUACUGCAACUCUCUGAAUUCCAUUACGACCCCUAUAUCAAAAUCUCGCCUACCAACCGGAAAUUGCCAAAAUCUCAACUUCGCCAAUCCAAGCCUAAACCUACUCUGAACCUCCAAAACUCAUUCCGAUCACACUCCUAAGUCCCAAAUCACCUCUCGAAGCUAACUGAACCAUCGAAACUCACAUCUGAUCCCUCUAACACAUAAGUCAACAUCCAGUUGACUUUUCCAACUCAACCUUUUUUAAAAGAGACUUAGUGUCUCAAACCUUACCAAAUCCUUUCCGAACCCUAACCAAUCAACUCGAUCACAUAUAGAACCAUUAUACAAAGCAAUUAGAAGCAUAAAUGGAGGAAACAGAAUGGUAACUCAUGAGACGAGUGGUCGGGUCGUCACAUGGAGACAUGAAAUCCUUUGGUAAACCAGUAAAAAAUGGAGAACCAGUCAGGAAAAUACUGAGAAGCUUACCUACAGCCUGGCAACCCAAAGUUAUUGCACAAGAAUGUCAAGAUCUUGAUAAGAUGUCAUAUAAUGAGCUAAGAGGUAAUCUUGUUUCCUUUUAGAAGACUAAUUUGAACAGAUGUGUACAAGAAGAAAAAAAGAAAACACUUGUGUUUAAAACAACAUUAGCUAAAACUACUGAAGGCCAGGUAUCAUCUAAUCCAUUAGAAUUAGAUGACUAUACUGACUAACACGUUGUUGUGGUGUAGGUAAAUGCUAAAGUUAAGAACCUUCUGAAUAAUGCAAUAAGCGGUAAAGAAUAUGGAAAGAUCUCAAGUUGUGAAACCGCGAAAGAAGAAGAAGAAGAAGAAGAAGAUGGAGAUCAAGAGGAAAACAUAGCUAUGAUAUCCAAAGUAGUAUCAAUCAUAUGAUGAGAACAAACAAAAAUGGCAGAAGAGGCAAACCAAACUUCAAAAAAGGCAAAACACUAUAUGAGAACUACCAGAAUGAUGGAAGAUGCUAUGAAUGUGGUAAACUUGGUCAUAUUCAAGCAGAAUGUCCUGAACUGAAAAAGAAAAUCAACAGAAACUAUCAAAAGAACAAAUCUUUUAGUGUAUGGAGCGAUGAAGAAGGAUCUGAUCAUAAGGAGAUAACCAACAUGUGUUUCAUGGCAAUAAGAGAAAAUAGUUAUGAAGAAGAAUCUGAUCACAAAGAAGCACAUGAAUUAUGUAGCAUGGCAGCCGAAGGAACAAAUAAGGUACAUUCACAUGUGUAUCCUAAAUAUAAUGAACUUCAAGAAUUCGUUGAUAUUGCUCUCGUAGAUCUUAAAUUUUUUUUACAUAAACUUCAAAAGAUUCAACGAGAAAAGAAAGAUGGGAAUUGAAACUAGAAGUAUGUGAGAAAGAGACAUGUUUCAAGAAGAAGUUCAUGAACUUCAGUUGCAGCUGAAUGGAUUGAGAAAAUCCAUCAGCCGUAGUUCCAUCAAAUCAAACCAGUCGACUCUUCUUUAAAACUCUUCUAGAACAAAAAAAAUUCAAUCUAUCCUCAUGUAUUCACUGUGGAAAAAAUAUUCACCUAUCUAACCACUGCAGGUAGGUUUAGAAAUAAAGGGGAGAAACCCCUUGAAAAUUCUAAUGCUCCUUAUUAUUUUUAUUAUGGAAAAUUCGGUCACAUAUCUAAUCACUGCAGGUAUAAAAAUAGCAAGAGUUAGGUCUGGCGACCUGAAGCAACAAAUUUGGCAAACAGCUAGAAAACUAACUAGUUAGGACCCAAGUAGGCUUAGGUAUCUAAAAAUAAUUAAUUUAUUGUUGAAGGAACACCUCAAGAAAAUUCAAAAAAGGAAAAUAGUAUCUUGAUAACACGCGUUCCAGACACAUGACAUGCGACAAACAACUUUUCAAAUCAGUCACCAAGUUUGAUGGUGGAUCAGUAACCUUUGGAGAUAAAUCAAAAGUGAUGUAAUUGGAGUUGGAAAAGUCCCUCUCAGGUCAUCAUGCGAUGUGGACGAAGUCUAUAUUGUAGAUGAACUUGGAUAUAACCUGCUCAGCAUCAGUCAACUAUGUGACAGUGACUUUGAGGUUCGUUUUAAAAAAUAUGGGUGGAUUAUCGAAGAUGAAUCAAGUAAAAUCAUUCUAUCUGGAAGUAGAGAUAGAAAUGUUUACACCCUUAGUAAUAUUGAUGUCAUAUCGGAUCAGCUUUGUCUAGCAUCCAUAAUUGAUGAUCAUUGGGUAUGGCAUAGAAAACUUGAUCAUGCUAGCGUGCAUACUAUCCAAAAACUUUCUAAACAGGAUCAUGUCAUUGGUCCUCCAAAAUUAGUUUUUUUAAAAGAUCAUAUUUGUGAUUCAUGUCAAUUAGGUAAACAAACCAGAUCUUUCAAAAUCAAAGACAUUAUCUCUACAACAAAACCUCUCCAACUGUUGCACAUGGACCUUUUUGGUCCAACCAGGAUUGCUAGCAUUAGUGGUAACAAAUAUGCUUUUGUUAUAGCAGAUGAGUUUUCACGAUUUACCUGACUUAUUUUCUUGAGUCAUAAAGAUGAAGCACUAAAGAAUUUUAAAAUCCUCUGCAAAAAGGUUCAGCGAGAAAAUGGAUAUUACAUCGCUUCCAUAAGAAGUGAUCAUGGAGAAUAAUUUUAAAGUAGAGCAUUUGAAAAUUUCUGCAAUGACCAAGGAAUCUCCCAAAACUUCCCAUCCCCCAGAUCAUCACAACAAAAUAGAGUAGUGGAACACAAAAAUAGAACUCUUCAAAAUAUGGCAAGGACCAUGAUUGCAGAAAACUCACUUCCACACAACUUCUGGGCUGAAGCAGUAAACACUGCAUGUCAUAUCAUCAACAGGUGUCUGAUAAGACCUAUUCUCAAAAAGACUCCCUUUGAACUGUGGAAAGAUAAAAGACCUAACAUAAGUUAUUUUCAUCCAUUUGGAUGCAAAUGCUUCAUUCAGAAUAAUAGAAAGGACAACCUUGGUAAGUUUGACCCAAAAAGUGACGAAGGUAUUUUUCUUGGAUACUCUCCCUCAAAUAGAACAUAUAAAGUUUACAAUAAACAUACUUUAUCUAUUGAAGAAUUUGUUCAUGUUGUGUUUAUUGAUACUAACCACUCUUCGAGGAAUGAAAAAAUUCUUGAUGAUGAGGAAAUUGCUAUAGUUUCAAAAUCUGUUCAAGUAGUUGAGGACACCCAUGAAGAAGUCACCGAUCACCAAUGUCAGUCGACUGACAGUCACAUGGAGAAUCAAGAAUCUCAUGCACCAAAACCACCAAAUCUUAUUGAAAAAGAACCAACUACAGUCGUACCAAAUGAAUGGAAAAGUGAACCUAGAUAUCCUCAUAAAUUCAACAUUGGCAAACCCCAAGAAGGCAUGAAAACUAGAAGAUCGCAAAAGCACACUUCAAAUAUUGCUCUCAUCUCAUAGUUUGAACCAAAAAAGGUAGACUAGGCCCUUGAAAAUGAUCGCUAGAUAAGCGCAAUGCAAGAGGAAUUUGGCCAAUUCGAGAAAAGUAAGGUACGAAAGCUCAUUUCUAAACCUCCUAACGCAUCUAUUGUUGAAACAAAAAAUGGGUUUACAGAAACAAGCUAAAUGAGUUCGGUCAAGUGGUAAGGAAUAAAGCAAGGUUGGUUGUUCAAGGAUACUCUCAACAAGAGGGAAUUGACAAUGAAUAAACCUUUGCUCCAUUUGCCAGGUUAGGAUUAAUCUGUAUUCUAUUAGCCUAUGCUGCUCAUAAAUAUUUCAGACUUUUUCAGAUGGAUGUAAAAAGUGCGAUCUUAAAUAGAUUCAUAUCUGAGGAAGUAUAUGUCAAGCAGCCCCCAGGUUUUGUAAAUAAGUCAUACCCAAACCAUGUCUAUGAGUUGUCUAAAGCUCUAUAUGGACUUAAACAAGCUCCUAGAGCAUGGUAUGAAGCUCAUUCUUAGUCAACUAUGAUUUUAACGAGGUAAUAUUGACAAUAUUUUUUUCAUCAAACAUUCCGACAGAGGUAAUUUGAUUGUACAAAUUCACAUUUAUGACAUUAUAUUUGGGAGUAUUAACACAGAUUUAAGCAAGAAUUUUUCAAAUAUCAUGAAAGGAAAAUUCAGGGUGAGCAUGAUGGGAGAGUUAAAAUUCUUUGUUGGGUUACAAAUUAAGCAAUCCUAGAAAGGAAUCGUUAUUAGCCAAAUAAAGUACACAAAUAAGCUUAUAAAGAAAUUUGGUAUGACAAAUGCCAAAGCCAUAGGGACUCUCAUGACUCUGUCAACCGUCCUUGAUGAAGACAAGAACGGUAAGAGCGUAGAUGAAAUAAUGUAUCGAGGUAUGAUUAGAUCUCUACUCUAUCUUACUGCAAGUCGAUUAGAUAUUAUGUUUAGUAUGCGUAAGUGUGCAAGGUAUCAGUCGACUCCUAAAGAAUCCUAUUUAACUGAUGUUAAACGAAUUAUCAGAUAUCUAAUAGGGACAAUCGACUAUGGAUUAUGGUAUGAAAGCUCUAAUAUUUUUUACCUCAAAGGUUUCUCAAUUGCAGAUUUUGUAGGUGACAAAACAGACAGAAAAAGCACAAGCGGAACUUGUCAAUUACUGGAAAAAGCACUCAUUUCCUGGCAUAACAAGAAAUAAAAUUAUGUUUCCUUAUGCAUUACUGAAGCAGAAUAUCUGGCUAUAGGCAACUGCUGCACACAAGUUCUGUAGAUUAUGCAUCAGCUUUUAUAUCACGAUUUUCUUCUUAAAUCUAUUCCAAUUAUGUGCAACAAUACUAGUGCUAUUUUUCUUUCUAAAAAUUUUGUGCAUCAUUCUAGAGCUAACCACUUGAAAUCAAGCAUCAUUUCAUUCGUAACUGUAUUGAAAAAGUUGAUAUUGUGUUAGAAUUUCUAAAUACUGAAAACCAACUUCCCGAUAUUUUUAUAAAACCCUUGUUUGAAGAAAGAUUUUGUUCUCUUCACGAUAAAAUCAGCAUAUCCUCAAUAAGCCUCUAAUGCUCACAAGUUCCAUAUUUUAAGUGACUAAUUUUUUUUAAUCUAGUUUCAAAAAUUAUUUUUAAAAAACACCAUCUGUGAAAACCUUCAAUUGAUAUGAUUACUAUUUGUAUGCAUUUAAUGUGUGAUUGGUGGAGGGGUACUCCAAAAGAAACUUUUUCAGUUGUCUUUUCACACUUCUUACUCUAAUCAAGGCAACUCUUUGCCACCCAUCAUUAUCCAUAUUAGAAACCCAUUCAUUCAUCUCUUACCAUCUCUUAUUCAGAAAUCCUGAUUUCUCAUGGCCAAAGCCAAACCAUCUCCAUCUUUCUCUAUGCCUCGAAAAAUUCACCGGUUUAAAUAGCUCAGCACACUGAUGAACCUAUUGACGUUGAGUCGUCAGAGGGUUCAUAUCACUAGGAUUCAAAGAUGAAUCCAACGAUUCUCCGGAGAAACCUCUCAUUACUCAAAAAAGGGUCGGCAAAUGUUCAAUGAAGUCGAAUCCCAAACAAUUCACAUAGAAAAAAGGGAAAAUUGAAAGUGUAGAAUUUGGUCUUGAGGACAAGAUAAUCUUCUAUGGUCCGAAAGAGAAAUUCAAAUAUGUUACCUAUAAAGGGAAGUCAAUUGCUUACGGACGCACUGUUAGUUUAAAAUCUAUGAAGAAUUCUCACUAUGAUGUUAUCUCUAUGUUGAAACUUACAAACUCUUGUCUUUGUUUGCAACUGUUAGUGAUACUUUUUAUGAGGAACCUGUGCGUAUGUUUUAUGCAAAUUUAGUUGUGAAUGACAAAGAUGAUUUGGAAUUCAUGGUACUAAGAACUCACAUCAUUCUUGACACUUACCAGUUAAAAAAGAUUUUCUCAACUAAGUUUCUUGGGUAUAGUCUUUUUUUUUUUUUGCAAUAUUCAUGGCUUGAUGAUUUUGAAGUGGCUUUUGAAGAAGCAAAUGGUGUUUGUUUGAAAACACCCCUGAUAUAGGUCCUAAGAACCUAAAAUUUAAGCAUCAUGUGUUAGCCCACAUUAUUGCUAUCACCCUCCUUCCUCGCACUGGUCCCUUAGCACCUUGUCUACCCGAGAUGUGUUUGUCCUAUGCUGCCUUGUGAAUGGAAAAAACUAUUGAUUAGUUUGCAUAGAUACGUCAAUACAUGCUUGAGAGUAUGUGGAUGUCUCUUCUGCUGCUAAUAGUUUGCCCUAUGGUCUACUAAUCUCUCAUGUUCUGUAAGUGAUGAAAGUGGACUUAUCUCCCUUUGCUCCUAAAGUCAUCUCUAACACUUAUGACAAAACAAUAUUUGCAAUGAUAGGAUACACCUUGGUUGAAGGGACUUGGAUUAAGAAAGACAAAGCCCCAGAAACUACAACCUCAACUCAAUAGGGUGCUGGAGGAAUUAAGUCUGAAGCCAGCCAACUUUCAUCCUCAGAUUCAUUGCUGCUAAUCCAACAAAGCAUUGUAGGUAUCAAGGAUAUGCUAACCAUUAUGCAUGGACAUGUGACAAAAUCAGGGAUGUGAUGAAGGAAACUGGAGCAUAUGUAGCAAGACUAAAGAUCAAUCUUCAGACUACAAAGAGACUAGGGAUUAGGGCUAUGCAGGAUGUUACUGAUCGAUUGGACAAAGUCUCCAAGGAGAUUGAUGCCUCUUAUAAUAGCUUCUGCACUAAAGUAAUCAACACUCUGAAGUAUUUCCUUGGAAGGAGUUGAUUAUGUGGGAUGUUUAAACUAUGACUAUUUUUGUGUGUGUUUUGUUAAGACUUUAUAUGUGGUGGUGCUUACUUAGGCAUAUGGUCAACUAUGGGCCGACUAUGCCUGCUUUUGCUUGACUAUGACUUGUUAGUUAUUAUAUAUAUAAGUACUGCAUGCAUCUUUUCUGCCUGUUACUAUCUAUCAUUAUCUGUGUAUCUUCUCUUCCUUCUUUUUGAUUGAUCUCAAAAAGGGAGAAGAAAAAGAUUAUAAAGAUAGGGGGAGCAAUACAUGGACACAAAGAUAGGGGAAGCACAACAGGCAAAAUGGAUACAAUAUGAAAGGGAAGUAUCGAAUAAAUAAUCUUCUAAAAUCUUUAAAUCUUUUGUUUAUUGUCUAUCAUCAAAAAGGGAGAAAUUGUUAGGUUUAGAAUUUUAAUGAUGGCUAAAAACAAAAGUCAAAGACUAUCUACUAAUGUCUCUACUACUUAUGCAGGUCAACUGUCCAAAGCACAAGGGAAUUUCCUAAAAUCAGUGCACUCGAAUAGGAAAGCAAUCAAAAAAGGUUUAAUAGCAGAGGCAGAUAACUAUCUUAUAAAGAUCCCUCCAUCAAACGUGUACAUUAAGGAAACAAGAAAGGAAAGGAAAUCAAUCAACUAUGCAAGACCUAUGGAAGACUCAAAUUAAGUGAUUGGAAAUAAAACUGCAAGAAUGGAAAGCUUUAGAGACAAAGACCGUCAAGGAAGAUCUAACAUAUCGAUUGAGUUUGAAUCCAACCAUGUUCCAUACACUGGAUUCAAGAGGAAACCCUUGGGUCCUACUCUUAGAACACACUACCUCAAAAAGAAAAUCAUAAUCAAUAAUUUUCCAAAUCUCAGAGAAAUGAAUAGAUAGCCUCAUCAAGAACUAUAUAAAAAGAGAAUAAAAGACGUGGAAGAUCAUGCAGCUUUAUACAAGUUUUCACUCUUUCUAUUUUUUAGGAAAACCAAUGUAUUUCUAACCUUACUGGUGUCUGAAAAGAUAGAGAGAAAAAGAAAGCAAGUGAAAAAUUGUUUCAAGAUUUCAUACUGUAACUCGUUAGUGGUAAACGUGACAAAAACCACACUCUCAUUUGUAACUGUUCGAUUGAAGAUCUAAGAAAACUCUUUUGACCCAAGAAUAUUGGAUGUAGUUACCACAUUGAUACACGAACUAGUAUAAAAAUCUCCGCCUCUCCUGUUUUUGUCUUUACAUUUUGUUAUAUUCAUUUGUUGAACUAACUAUUGUUUGCAGAAUCUCAAUAGUCAACUAAGAAUAAAGUUAGUUGACUAAAGAAUUUUUAUAAUUCACCUAGUUCCCUCUCUUGUACUUUCAUAAGGAACACCUUAUAUACAAUAUUAUACAUAUAAACAUCAAAUAUGUUAUUAUACGGUGAAUGUACAACAUCUGAAGGCAAAAAUCUAAACUCUUCUCUACUAUUAUAUACAUUGUAUAACUGUGAACACAUGAUUAUAGAUUAAUAAUAUAUAUAUAUAUAUAUAUAUAUAUGUGUGUGUGUGUGUGUGUGUGUGUGUGUGUACAUAAAAUAUACACACCUCAUUUAGAGCCUUUAAAAUCUAUCAUGUCAACCUAGUCAUCCAUUUUAACACCAUAAUCGCCAUUUAUAAUAGACAAAUAACUUUUGAAUGAAUAAAAAGUGAAGAAGACGAAGAAUCCAAUUAUAAUAAGAACAUAUUCAAUAAAAAGAGUAGAUGGGCGGAUACUUCCUCAUAAGGUUGAGCAUUACAAUGAACAUAAAUCUGAAAUAUUGAAAAAUUUUAAUUUUUUUUAUUGUCUUCACUGUUGAAUCUGGGUUUUUUGUGUAGGUAUUGGAGUUUGUUGCUGAAAAUCAAUUGUGUGUUGUUAUUCUGAGCUAAAAUCAGUUGUAGAUACUGAUUUGAAGAUUGAGGUUUGAACCUAAAACUUGAAAAGUAAAGUAAAUACCCAUUUUGGGCUUGAUAUUUGAAUUUGAAAUUUGCGAUAUGUAGUUCAUUCAUAGUGGAAGACUAUUUUGGAGUGUUUAUUUUGAAUAUAUAUAUAUAUAUAUUUGAAAUUCACGAUAUGUGGUUCAUUCGUUGUUGAAAGACUAUUUUGAAGUGUUUAUUUUGCAAAAAAUUAUAUAUAUAUAUAUAUAUAUAUAUAUAUAUAUAGAGAGAGAGAGAGAGAGAGAGAGAAAGAGAGGAGGGGGGUAGGCGAGGGAGAGAAAAAGAGUUGAAGAGAGAUGCAUGAAAGAAGAAAAAUAUAAUUUUGAUUUAGAGCCGGGGGCCAAACCGAGUAAAUCUGAAUUAGUUGGGCUAAACCGGGUAACUCAAAUCUAUGGGCUAAUACCCAACUUGAAUAUCCCUUUGAAAUAUAAUAGCAAAAUAGCCACUCUUUAAUGCGGAAUAAAAUUUGAACAAAAAUACACCGACGGAAGAACUCCAGGAACAAGAGCGGAGUUUAGACAUUUCUUAGUUCAAAUUCCAUAAAUAAAUGUUGGAGUUUGAAAUGUGUAGUUGAGACUCCAGAAAUAAUUAAUAGAAUUUAAACCUACAAGAUCAAUUACUAGAGUUUGUUUACACUUGAAAUUUAAAAUCCAAAAAAAUCUCUGCAAUAUUUUGUUUCUUCCUUGUUCAGCAACACUAAUGGCAACUCCUUUUACUAUUUUCUUAACAAUAUUCCUAAAGGAUUCAUAACACAUUCAUGCUUUUGUGUUACUCUAAUACAUUAUUAUAACGGCACCAAGUGUAUUUAAAUAAAUAGACAUAACAACCCAACAAUUUACCAAAUACAAAAAACGAAACAAGCACGAAUCUGAUGGCAUGUUCACUGUCCAUGAAAAUUGACCGGGAAGUUAGUGUAAGAUUUUUUGUGCAUUAACAUGCAGCCUUAAUUAGUGGAUGUAUUGAUUUUUUAGAGAGGCAGAGUAACAUCUAAUGGCACUAGUUCAUUUUAUGCUGAGUUCAAUCAGUUGAACUGAAAUACUACUCUAAAAACUUGAACUCCAACAUAGUAUGCUCGAAUUUGAACUUAUAAAGACUUGAACUCCAAGAAUCGUUCUUGGGGUUUGACACUCCAAUAGAUAUUUACACUUAGAUUGUAAAAGUUUGAACCUCAUGAAUUGCUACUAGAUACAAAUUCCAAUAAAUUUUUUGGGUUCCACUUGUAAAAUCAUUGAACUCCAGCAUUGUCUGCUGGAGUUGUUUCGUAUUUAGUUGGGGCUAUUUUUGUCCAAAAGUGUAAUGACCCGGCCGGUCGUUUUGAGAAUUUACACCCCGAUCCCCUAUUAACUAUUUUUUCCGUAUUUGUUUUCUACUAUUUUGAUUUGCCGGGAUGUUUGGUUUUGGGUUUCGGAGAGUUUUGGGACACUUAGUCCCUAAAGGACAGCUUAAGUUUUAGAAAUUAGAUCGUAGUUGGAGCAGUAUGAAGACGAUCUUGGAAUGGAAUUCUGACGGUUCCGUUAGCUCCGUUGGGUGAUUUCGGGCUUAGGAGCGAGUUCGGAUUGUGUUUUGGAGGUCCGUAGUUAAUUUAAGCUUAAAAUGCCGAAAGUUGAAUUUUUGAAGUUUCUGGUUCGAUAGUGAGGUUUUGAUCUAAGGGUCGGAAUAGAAUUCCAGAAAGUAGACUAGCUCUGUAGUGUUGAAUGUGAUGUGUGUGUAAAAUUUCAGAUCACUCGGACGAGGGUUGAUACACUUUUUGAUCGAAAGCGUAAAUUGAGAGUUUUUAGAGUUCUUAGGCUUGAAUCCAUGGUUAAUUCGAUGUUUUUAUAUUGUUUUAGGUGAUUUGAGGAUUGUUAUAAGUUUGGAUAGUGGUAUAGGACUUGCUCGUAUUUUUGGUUGAGGUCCCGGGAGCCUCGAGGUGAUUUCGGAGGGUUGUCAGAAGAAUUGGACGUGGUUUGAAGCAGCUGGAGCUACUGAUCUCUGUCAUAACUGCACAUGCGGCUAGGUCCCGCAGAAGCGGCGCCAGCAUCGCAGAAGCGAAAAAGAGGAAAGCCAGCAAGAGCCGCAAAAGCGGGCUCUUCACCGCAGAAGCGGCACCGCAUCUGCGUAAGGGUAACCGCAGGUGCGGAAGUUGGGUUUUAGUGAAUUGUCGCAGAUGCGACUUUAGUUCCGCAAAAGCGGUGGCCAUAGAAGUGGAUUCGCUGGGCAAAACAUAUAAAUAGAUACCUUCGCGAAUUUGAGUUAUUUUUCACCUAUUUUCAAACGGGAAGGAACUUUGGGGAGCAUUUUCAAGGGAGAUUUUCAGAGGGAUUCGUGGAGGCAAAGCCUUUGGUCCUUAAGCUCGUUAUUAUUGUAAUUUUUAUCAUUCUAAGCAUGAAAAAAUAAGGAAAAUCAGUGGUAAAUUGGGGGUUAGGGCUUGGUUAAUUAGAGAGCUUUGAGUGAUAAUUUGAGGGACCAUUUAAGGUCCGAUUUUGGUACUUUCGGUAUGACUGAACUCGUGAGAGUAUGAGUAUUCUGAGAAUGUAAAUUUUACCCAAUUUCGAGAUGUGGGCCCGAGGGGCAUUUUGGUCAUUUUACCUAAUUUCGUGUGUUAGCUUAGAAUUUAUUUGUGGAAUCAGUUACUUGAAGUUAUAUUUACAUGCAAUUGAAUUGAAUAGAUUUGGGCCAUUUGGAGUCGAGUACUCAUGGCAAGAACGUGGUUUCAGAUUGACUUUGAGCCGGUUUGAGGUAAGUGGCUUACCUAAGUUGUAUGGGGGAACUCCCCUAUUUGGUAUUAUUGAUAUUUGAAAUGCCUUGUACAUGAGGUAACGAGUGUGUACUUGUGCUAAUUGUUGAAAAAUCCGGUUUUCUUUAAGUAAUUUUAAUUAUGUUUCUUCUCCUGUUUAUACUACUUGCAAUUUAAGCAUGUUGUUAGCUUAGGGAAGCAUGUCUAAUUUCCUUAAUUACUUUACUUGCUCAAACUGCCUUAUUUGGAUUAUGUGCAGCAUGCUAGGCUAGAAAUACCUGUUUCUACCUUGGUAUGGAAUUUAAAUUGAAUUGUGUAUUCUUCGUGUUGUUGCUGUGUGUUUACUUUGGGACUACGGGAUGGUAUCCCGGGAGAUCCCCCGUAUGUUUACUUUGAGACUACGGAACAGUAUUUCGGGAGAUCCUCCUGCACAUUUACAUUGGAACUAAAGGAUUGCACUCGAUAGAUUCCCCCUGUACUGAGUAUUUACAUUUGGGACUACGGAUCGGUAUUCCGGGAGAUACCCUCGCAUUAUAAGUUGGACUACGGGAUGGUAUCCCGGGAGAUCCACUAGAUAUUUAUAUUUGGGACUACAGGACGGUAUCUUGGGAGAUCCCUGGUUGUUAUCUCUGUGUGGAGUUGUAUUUCUUUCUGUGUUUACUUUGCCUCUAUAGUAGUAGUUGUUGUUCUUUCUAUUCUGUGUUACUUUUACUGUUGCACUUAUUUAUACUGUCUUGUUUUACACUGUUAAACCUUGUAUUUCAUAUAACCUCAGUAGGGCCCUGACCUUCCUCGUUACUACCCGACCGAGGUUAGGCUUGGCACUUACUGAGUACCGAUGUGGUGUACUCAUGGCCUUUCUGCACAUGUUUUUCAUGUGUAGAUCCAGGUACUUCCACUCAGUCUUAUCACACUUGAGGCGAGGCGCUGUUGAAGAGACUCCGAGGUAUAUCUGCCGCUUCCGCAGACCAAAGAGUCCCUUUCUAUUCUCAGUAUUAGUAUAGCCCUUCUGUAUUUUCUUGUUGAUAGACAUUUCUGGAGUUAGAGCUUUUUAUGUAAUCUCUUAGCUUGUGAUUCAUGGGGUUCCAAAUUUUGGGAAGUGUUAUAUUGAGAUUUUUGUACUGCUAUACGCCAGGCGGCAUCUUAAACACUAUUUUAUUUUGUUAUUUCAAUUUUAUAUUAUUUUCUUUCCGCAAAUUGUUUCUUUUCCGCAUUAUUAGGCUUACCUAGUCGUAGAGACUAGGUGCCAUCACGAUAGGUCACGGAGGGCAAACUGGGGUCGUGACAAGUUGGUAUUAGAGCUCUAGGUUCAUAGGAGUCAUGAAUCACAAGCUAGUUUAUUAGAGUCUCGCGGAUCGGUACAGAGACGUCUGUACUUAUCUGCGAGGGGCUAUGUAACUGUUAGGAAAAUUCCAUUUAUUUGAUUUCCUUGUCGUGUAAGAUUUUGACAUCACAAUUCUAAACUUAUGUCUUCUAUUCUCUCACAGAUGGUGAGGACACGUGCUACCAGAGAUGAUCAGGCACCCGCGCCCCCUACUAGAGCCGUUAGAGGCCGGACCAGGGUAGAGGUCGAGGAUGCGCACGUGGUGUGACCAGAGCACCCGCGCGAGCUGCCACCGAGGUACCACCAGCAGUUCCAGCUGGAGUCCAGGCACCUGAUACCCUACUGCUACUACUACUCUAGCUCUUUAAGAGACUUUUGCGCAGUUUAUGAGCAUGCACACCACUCUGGCUCAGGCAGGGUUGCUUCCCCUUUCUACAGCCAUAUCCCAGGCCGAGGGAGGAGCACAGACUCUCGCCGCUGCACUCCUGAGUAAUGAGUGCAUGUUGAUCAGGUCCCUGAGAUUAUUCUUGUACUUCCUGUAGUCCCAGGUCAGCCCGAGGACAGGGCAGCAGCUUUAGAAAAUGAGCAACGGAGGCUUGAGAGGUUCAAGAAGUAUGAUCCUCCUGUAUUUAGUUGGGUAGAAUCAGAUGAUGCCUUGGGAUUUCUGGAGGAGUGUUACUGUAUCCUCCACAAUAUAGGUAUAUCAAAAUCGUGUGGGGUUUCUUUCACUUCCUUUUAGCUUCGAGGAACCGCCUAUGAAUGGUGGCGCACCUAUGAGUUAGACAGUCCGGAUGAGGAGCUUCACUGACUUGGACUGAGUUUUCAGAUAUGUUCCUGAGAGUGUUUGUUCCUCAGAGCCUUAGGGACGCAUGGCGCGUAGAGUUUGAGCAUUUGCGCUAGGGUACUAUGACUGUCUCAGAGUAUGUUGUCUGUUACACUAGCUUGGCUAGACAUGCCCCAGCCUUGGUUUCUACUAUUCGCGAGAGGGUUUGCCGGUUUAUUUCAGGGCUUAUUCCCAGCAUCAGGUCUAGCAUGGCUCGUGAGUUGGAGAUGGAUAUUUCUUAUCAGAAGGUUAUGAGCAUUGCUAGGAGGAUAGAAGGUAUGCAUGCUAGGGAGAGAGAGGAGAGGGAGGCCAAGAGGUCUCGAGAGUCGGGCCAUUAUUCUGGUGCCCGUGCUCCAACUGCAGUUCGUCAUGGUAGGGGUUAUGUGAGUUGCCCCAUUCAUUCAGCUCUUCCACCAGCCAGUGGUAUUCCAGCUCCUCCUAGGCCUCAGGAGCCUUAUUAUGCACCUCUAGUAUCUAGUGCGCCUCCUGCACGGGGUGCUUCCAACGGCAGUCCAACAGACCUGGCCCGAGCCAGUUACAGCCACCACGUCCUCCCAAAGCUUGUUUUGAGUGUGGUGACACACUCCAUAUGGUGAGGGAUUGCCCCAGACUUAGGAGGGGUGCACCUCCACAGACUUCUCAACCAUAGCGUGCCCCCAGAGUUCUCAGGCUAUGAUUACAGUACCAGUUUCUACCCCACCUGCUCAGCUAGCUAGAGGUGGAGGUCGGGGAGGUAGAGGUCACCCUAGAGGGGGAGGCCAGGCCAGAUAUUAUGCCCUUCCUGCCCAUACCGAGGUUGUUGCCUCCGAUUUUGUCAUCAUAGGUAUUGUCAUGGUUUGUCAUAGAGAUGCAUCGGUUUUAUUCGAUCUAGGAUCCAUCUAUUCUUAUGUGUCUUCUUAUUUUGCUACGCAUUUGGGUGUAUCUCGGGAUUCUUUGAGUUUCCCUAUUUAUGUUUCUGCUCAUGUAGGAGAUUCUCUUGUUGUGGACCGCAUUUAUCGAUUGUGUGUGGUUGCUCUUAGUGAUUUUAAGACUAGAGCCAAUUUAUUAUUACUUACCAUAGUAGAUUUUAAUGUUAUCUUGGGCAUGGACUGGUUGUCGUCCUAUUAUGCUAUUCUUGAUUGUCACGCCAAAACCGUGACACUGGCUAUGUCAGGUGUACCGCGAGUAGAGUGCAGGGGUACCUUAGAUCGUACUUCCAGUAGAGUUAUUUCUUUCCUUAAGGCUCAGCGUAUGGUUGAGAAGGGGUGUGACGCGUAUNNNNNNNNNNNNNNNNNNUCAGUCCUAGUAGUACGGGAUUUUCCUAAUGUGUUUCUAGUUGAUCUUCCGGGUAUGCCACCUGACAGAGAUAUUGAUCUUGGCAUUGAUCUGUUGCCUUGCACUCAGCCCAUCUCUAUUCCUCCGUAUCGUAUGGCUCCUCUUGAGUUGAAGGAGUUGAAGGAGCAGUUACAAGAAUUGCUUGAUAAGGGUUUUAUUUGGCCUGGUGUAUCACCUUAGGGUGCUCCUGUCUUGUUUGUGAAGAAAAAGGAUGGUUCUAUGCGUAUGUGCAUUAAUUAUCGCCAGUUGAACAAAGUUACAGUGAAGAACCGGUAUCCUUUUCCUUGUAUUGAGGAUUUGUUUGACUAGUUACACGGUGCACGAGUGUUUUCUAAGAUUGACUUGCGUUCAGGUUACCAUCAGUUGAAGAUUCGGGAGCCAGAUAUCCCGAAGACUGCUUUCAAGACUUGGUAUAGUCAUUACGAGUUCCUUGUUAUGUCAUUUGGGCUGACCAAUGCCCCAAUAGCCUUUAUGCAUCUGAUGCACGGUGUGUUUCGGCCAUAUUUUGACUCGUUCGUUAUUGUCUUUAUUGAUGAUAUUCUAGUAUACUCCCGGAGUCGGGAAGAUCAUGAGCAGCCCCUAAGGAUAGUGCUUCAGGCUUUGAGGGAAAAGAAGUUAUAUGCAAAGUUCUCGAAAUAUGAGUUUUGGUUGGAUUUUGUGGCUUUCUUAAGUCACGUGGUAUCGAGUAAGGGUAUACGGGUGGAUUUGAAGAAAGUGGAGGCAGUGCAGAGUUGGCCCAGACCAUCCUCAGCUAUAGAGAUCCAUAGUUUUCUUGGCUUGGCGGGUUAUUACCGUCGAUUUGUUAAGGGGUUUUCAUCUAUUGCAGCACCUAUGACCAGGCUGACCUAGAAGGAUGCUCCAUUUUAGUGAACGGAAGAGUGUGAGGCGAGUUUUCAGAAGCUCAAGACAACUUUGACUACAACGCUAGUUUUGAUAUUGCCUAUAGGUUCGGGGUCUUAAACUGUCUAUUAUAAUGCCUCGAGGAUUGGACUUGGAGCGGUAUUGAUGGAGAACGGUAGGGUGAUUGCCUACGCGUCCAGACAGCUGAAGGUACAUGAGAAGAAUUAUCUUGUCCAUGAUCUCGAGUUAGCUGCCAUUGUUCACCCCUUAAAGAUCUGGUGCCAUUAUUUGUACGGUGUUCCUUGUGAGAUUUAUACUGAUCAUCGGAGCUUGCAGCACCUGUUUAAGCAAAAGGACCUUAAUUUGCAUCAGAGGAGGUGGUUAGAGUUGCUAAAGGACUAUGAUAUCACUAUUUUGUAUCACCCGGGCAAGGCCAAUGUGGUGGCCGAUGCUUUGAAUUGUCGGGCAGAGAGUUUGAGGAGUUUGGCUUAUUUACCAGCAGCGGAGAUGCCCAUGGCGAUGGAUGUUCAGACCUUAGCUAGCUAGUUUGUGAGAUUGGACCUUUAGGAGCCCAAUCGGGUUCUAGCUUGUAUGGUUUCUUGGUCUUCCUUAUUUGAUCGUAUCAGGGAGCGUCAGUAUGAUGACCCUCAUUUGCUUGUCCUCAAGGACAAGGUUCAGCAUAGCGAUGCCAGAGAUGUGACUAUUGGUGAUGACGGGGUAUUGAGGAUGCAGGGUCGGCUCUGUGUACCCAAUGUUGAUGGGCUUCGGGAGUUGAUUUUAGAGAAGGCCCACAGUUCACGGUAUUCCAUUCAUCCGGGUGCCGCGAAGAUGUACCAAGAUAUUAGGUAGCACUAUUGGUGGAGGCAGAUGAAGAAAGAUAUAGUUGGAUUUGUAGCUCGGUGCCUCAAUUGUCAGCACGUAAAGUAUGAGCACUAGAGACCGGGUGGGUUGCUUCAGCAGAUAGAGAUUUCGGAGUGGAAGUGGGAGAGGAUCACCAUAGACUUCAUAGUUGAACUCCCACGGACUUUGACGAAUCGAUGCCAUUUGGGUGAUUGUGGAUCGGCUAACCAAGUCCGCGCACUUCAUUCCUAUGUGUACUACCUAUUCUUCGGAGCGUCUGGCGAAGAUUUAUAUUCGGGAGAUUGUUCGUCUGCAUGGUAUUCCAGUUUCCAUCAUUUCAGAUAGAGGAACUCAAUUUACAUCACGAUUCUGGAGGGCCAUUCAGCAUGAGUUGGGUACUCGAGUGGAGUUGAGCACAACAUUUCACCCUUAGACGGAUGGACAGUCCGAGUGCACUAUUCAGAUUCUUUAGGAUAUGCUAUAUGCGUGUGUGAUUGAGUUUGGAGGGUCUUGGGAUCAGUUAUUGCCAUUGGUAGAGUUUGCCUACAACAACAACUAUCAGUCCAGCAUUCAGAUGGCACCGUAUGAGGCUUUAUAUGGUAGGUGGUAUAGAUCCCCGGUGGGUCGGUUUGAGCCGGGUGAGGCUAGAUUAUUGGGAACAGACUUAGUUCAGGAUGCUUUGGAGAAGGUUAAGGUGAUUCAGGAUAGACUCUGUAUAUCCCAGUCCAGAUAGAAGAGUUACGUUGACCGGAAGGUUCGUGAUGUUUCAUAUAUGGUUGGAGAGCGGGUUCUGCUUUGGGUUUCGCCUAUGAAGGGCGUUAUGAGAUUCAAGAAGAAAGGAAAGUUGAGUCUAAGGUUUAUUGGUCCUUUUGAAAUAUUGAGACGUGUUGGGGAGGUUGCUUAUGAGCUUACCUUACCUCCCAGCUUGGCAGGAGUUCAUCCGGUAUUUUAUGUUUCGAUGCUCCGGAGGUAUCACGGUGAUCCGUCGCACGUGUUGGAUUUCAGUUCAGUUCAGUUGGACAAGGAUCUAUCUUAUGUUGAGGAGCCAGUGGCGAUAUUGGACAGGCUGGUUCGAAAGCUAAGGUCAAACAACAUUACAUCAGUAAAGGUUCAGUGGCGGGGUCAGCCGGUCGAGGAGGCGACCUGGGAGACCGAGCAGGACAUGCGCAACCGUUACCCUCAUCUUUUCACUACUUAAGGUAUGUCUCUAUGCUCCUUCGAGGACGAACGAUUGUUUAAGUGUGGGAGGAUGUAACGACCUGGCCGGUCGUUUUGAGAAUUUACGCCCAUAUCCCCUAUUAACUGUUUUUCCAGUGUUUGUUUUAUGCUAUUUUGAUCUGCCGGGAUAUUUGGUUUUGAGUUUUGGAGAGUUUUGGAACACUUAGUCCCUAAAGGGGAGCUUAAGUUUUAGAAAUUGGACCGUAGUCAGAGCAAUAUGAAGACGGCCUCGGAAUGGAAUUCUGACGGUUCCAUUAGCUCCGUUGGGUUAUUUCAGGCUUAGGGGCAUGUUUGGAUUGUGUUUUGGAGAUCCGUAGCUAAUUUAAGCUUAAAAUGCCAAAAGUUAAAUUUUUGAAGUUUCCGGUUCAAUAGUGAGAUUUUGAUCUAAGGGUCGGAAUAGAAUUUCGGAAGUUGGAGUAGCUCCGUAGUGUUGAAUGUGACGUGUGUGCAAAAUUUUAGGUCAUUCGGACGAGGGUUGAUAGACUGUUUGAUCGAAAACAUAAAUUGAGAUUUUUUGGAGUUCUUAGGCUUGAAUCCAUGGUUAAUUCGAUAUUUCAAUGUUGUUUUAGGUGAUUUGAGGAUUGGUAUAAGUUUGGAUAGUGGUAUAGGACUUGUUCGUAUUUUUGGUUGAGGUCCCGGGGGCCUCGGGGUGAUUUUGGAGGGUUGUCGGAAGAACUGGAAGUGGUUUGAAGCAACUGAAGCUGCUAAUCUCUGUCAUAACCGCACCUGCGGUUAGGUCCCGCAGGUGCGGAGCCGCAGAAUCGGCGCCAGCAUCGCAGAAGUGGAAAAGGGGAGAGCCAGCAGGAGCCGCAGAAGCGGCACCGCAUCUGCGUAAGGGUAAUCGCAGGUGCGGAAGCUGGGUUUUAGUGAAUUGUCACAGAUGCGACUUGAGUUACACAAAAGCGGGACCGCAGGUGCGGUCCCAUGGCCGUAGAAGCGGAUUCGCUGGGCAGAACAUAUAAAUAGAUGCCUUUGCGAAUUUGAGUUAUUUUUCACCUAUUUUCAAACGGGAAGGAACUUUGGGGAGCAUUUUCAAGGGAGAUUUUCAGAGGGAUUCGUGGAGGUAAAGCCUUUGGUCCUUAAGCUCGUUAUUAUGGUGAUUUUUAUCAUUCUAAGCAUGAAAAAUUAAGGAAAAUUAGUGGUAAAUUGGGGGUUAGGGCUUGGUUAAUUAGAGAGCUUUGAGUGAUGAUUUGAGGGAUCAUUUGAGGUCCGAUUUUGGUAAUUUUGGUAUGAAUGAACUCGUGAGAGUAUGAGGAUUCUGAAAAUAUAAAUUUUACCUAAUUCCGAGAUGUGGGCCCGAGGGGCAUUUUGAUCAUUUAAUCUAAUUUCGUGUAUUAGCUUAGAAUUUAUUUGUGAAAUCAGUUACUUGAAGUUAUAUUUACACUAUGCAGUUGAAUUGAAUAGAUUUGGGUCAUUUGGAGUCGAGUACUCGUGGCAAGAACGUGGUUUCGGAUUGACAUUGAGCCGGUUUGGGGUAAGUGGCUUGCCUAACCUUGUGUGGGGGAACUCCCCCUAGGAUUUGUUGUUAUUGAUAUUUGAAAUGCCUUGUACGUGAGGUGACAAGUGCGUACUUGUGCUAAUUGUUAAAAACCCCAGUUUUUUUUAAGUAAUUUUAAUUGUCUUUCUUCUCCUGUUUAUACUACUUGCAAUUUAAGCCUGUUGUUAGCUUAGGGAAGGAUGUCUAAUUGCUUUACUUGCUCAAACUGCCUUAUUUGGAUUAUGUGCAACAUUAGGCUAGAAAUACCUGUUUUACCUUGGUAUGAAAUUUAAAUUGAAUUGUGUAUUCUUCGUGUUGUUGCUGUGUGUUUACUUUGGGACUACGGGAUGGUAUCCCGGGAGAUCCCCUCGUAUGUUUACUUUGGGACUACGGAACGGUAUUCAGGGAGAUCCCCCUGCACAUUUACAUUGGAACUACGGGGCUGCACUCGAUAGAUUCCCCAUGUACUGAGUAUUUACAUUUGGGACUACGGAUCGGUAUUCUGGGAGAUCCCCUCGCAUUAUGAGUUGGACUACAGGACGGUAUCCGGGGAGAUCCACCAGAUAUUUAUAUUUCGAACUACAGGACGGUAUCCUGGGAGAUCCCCGGUUGUUAUCUCAGUGUUGAGUUGUAUUUCUUUUUGUGUUUACUUUGCCUCUGUAGUAGUUGUUGUUGUUCUUUUUAUCCCGUGUUACUUUUACUGUUGCACUUAUUUAUACUGUCUUAUUCUACACUGUUAAACCUUGUAUUUCAUUUAACCUCAGUAGGGCCCUGACCUUCCUCGUCACUACCCGACCGAGGUUAGGCUUGGCACUUACUGAGUACCGCUGUGGUAUACUCAUGCCCUUUCUGCGCACGUUUUUCAUUUGCAAAUUCAGGUACUUCCACUCAGUCUUAUCACACUUGAGGCGAGGCGCUGUUGAAGAGACUCCGAGGUAUAUCUGCUGCGUCCGCAGACCAAAGAGUCCCUUUCUAUUCUCAGUAUUAGUAUAGCCCUUCUGUAUUUUCUUGUUAAUAGAUAUUUCUGGAGUUAGAGCUUUUUAUGUAAUCUCUUAGCUUGUGAUUCAUGGGGUUCCGGAUUUUGGGAAGUGUUAGGUUGAGAUUCUUGUACUGUUAUAUGUCAGGCGGCAUCUUAAACACUAUUUCAUUUUGUUAUUUCGGUUUUAUAUUAUUUUUUUCCGCAAAUUAUUUUUUUUCCCGCAUUAUUAGGCUUACCUAGUCGUAGAGACUAAGUGCCGUUACGAUAGUUCACAGAGGGCGAACUGGGAUCGUGACAAAAAACAAUUCAUGUGAAAGAAGUGGCUAAAUACCAAUAACUUUUUAAAUACGGCUCAACACUAAUAGCAUGUGUUAAAGUAACUAUUUGGUAAUUAUUUUCCAUUAUAUGCACAUAUUAUACGUAUUUUUAUUUUACUGAUAACACAAAGUGUUAAAUAAAAUUUAACAGGAUGAAAUCCUUUAUUAAUGUUAAUUCAUGUGAACAUAGUAGUAUCACAUAGCAUCUCUAAAAUUGUAAAAAUAACAAAGUACAAAUAUAUAAUUUUAAAAAAGUUAGACCUUUCAGCAGAUAAUAGAAAGUGUACAUAAAAAAUAACAUUAACAUGAACCAUGAACCAUGAACGCAUUAAACAACAAUUAAAAAUUAUUAAUAUUGGUUUCGGAGUUGAAUUAAUUAAAUACGAUGAAUAUAACUAAUUAAGGUGAAUUUUAUUUAUUAACGUCACCUAUAAUGCAUUGGAGGUUUGGAGAUAGACCUUAGAGGUUAAAGGUUUCAAAUUGAGCAUGACUAAGACAUAGUACUUAGCGUACAAGUUCAAUGACGAGACAAGGGGAGCGGAUAUAGACGUGAGGCUUGAUUCACAAGUCAUCCCUAAGAGAGGAAGUUUCAAGUAUCUUCGGUCAAUUAUCCAAGGAAGUGUGGAUAUUGACGAGGAUGUAUCACACCGUAUAGAGGCGGAUGGAUGAAAUGGAGGUUAGCAUCCGGCGUCCUAUGUGACAAGAAUGUGCCACCAUAAUUUAAAGGUCAGUUUUACAAGGUGAUAGUUAGACCGACAAUGUUAUAUGGGACUGAAUGUUGGCCAUUCAAAAACUCCCUUAUCCAAAAGAUGAACGUAGCAGAACUGAGGAUGUUGCGAUGGAUGUGCGGGCACACUAGAUUGGAUAAGAUCAGGAAUAAGGAUAUUUGGGAGAAAGUGGUUAUGGACCCCAUGGAGGAUAAGAUGUUCGAAGAUUCGGGCAUGUGAGAUGGAGAAGCCUAGAUGCCUCAGUGAGGCAUUAAUAUAUAUAUAUACACACACACUUAGGUAUUGGAUUUAGUUUUGUAAAAUAUAUUGUCUUGCUAUUACUUCUCUAUUGCUAUCUUCAAUUUAGUUUUCUAAAUAUAUUGUCUUAAUAUUACUUGUAUCAAAGGCUUCUUCCAUUUUCUUUAGCUGAGGGUCUAUCGGAAACAGUUCUUCCAGGAUAGGGGUAAGGUGUGAACGGUUGGUACUGGCUGGUAGGAGAAGAGGUAGAGGACGACCUAAGAAAUAUUGAGGAGAGAUGAUCAGGCAGGACAUGACGCGACUUCAACUUGCCGAGGACAUGGAUCUUGAUAGGAGGGUAUGGAGGUCGAAGAUUAGGGUGGGGUAAUAGGUCGCAGUGUGUUCUUCUGAACCGUUUCAGGUUUACUAGGACUAGUCUGCUAGUACCUUGUAGUUGUUUCUUAGAAUGCUAGUAUUAGGGUGGUUUUUAGUACUAUCUUCCACUUCGGUUUUCUAGUACCUUGGCACUGUUAUUGCUUGGCUAUUGCUAUUGCUUUCUUCCAUCUGUUUUUCGGUUCAUACAUUGUUGAUUUUAUUUUCCUGGCUUGUUGUUGAUAUUUACCUGUUUUUAUUCUUUCUCCCGAGUUGUGGGUCUUUCGGAAAUAAUUUAUCUACCUCCUUAAAGUAGGGGUAAGAUAUGCAUAUACAUUACCCUUUUCAAAUCCCACUCGUGAGAUUUCACUGAAUUGUUGUUGUUGUAACAUCGAUUAUAUAAUAAGCUAAAAAUCUUAUAGCCUCUCUCCCUAGAGUCCCAUCCAAAAAGGGUAAAAGGAAAGAAAAAAAGAGAGGAGGAAAAUAAUUGCGAUUCCCCAUCCUUUUCUGUAUUUGAAGUCUGUUGGUCAUAAUAACUUAAAACUUCAACGAAUGUAUUCAAUUUGACUUUGCUAAUUUGUCUUCUAUAAAAGUAUCAUAACAAAUUGUUAUUACGCUUCAAUUUUAAACUAGUUGUGUCAAUUAUAUGAAUUACAAUAUCAAUAUCCACCAUUUACUUUAUAAGUAAGGUUAAGAUGUCUAUUUCAUUAUUAAGAUGUUUGCUUCAAAUUUGCACAAUAAAAGCUAAAUCUAAUUGUUUCUCGUCAUUUGAACGUGUAUAAUCUAUCUUUCUUUAAAAAUUAAUAAAUAUAUAAUUUAAAAAUAAUAUUCAAAUAUUAUAUAAUAAAAUAUUAUUUUUAAAAUUUAUGUGUUGUCGCAAAAAAUAAGUUGUUCCAUGAAGCAUGCUCCAAAAGCUACUAGCGAUGGCAACUGCCAAAGGUAAGGUAGUCGUCGAAAGUACUGAUUGUGAGGUGGCGUUUCUGAUAAUGGUAACUGGUAUUUCUAUAGUGAAAGACAAGUAAUGGUUGAAUGGUAGUUGCUUAUAGUUCUGCUUGACGAUGAAGGUAGUUGACAGUAAAAACUGGUGGUAAAAGAAAGCUGGCAGAGGAGAUGACUGAUAGUGAAGAUGGUUGGUUAUAGUAGUUGAUUGUGGAAGUAGUUGGUAUUGGUAGCGAUUAUCCGUAGUGAUUAUGUGUAACGAUCCGGCCGGUUGUUUCAUGAAUUACUGCUCCAUUUCCCCUAUUUCUGCUUUCUUAUGUGUUGUUCAGCUUUCAUCGUAUCGUGUUAGUUGGUUCGGGCUUGGAGUAGUUUUGGAGUGUUAUGAGACACUUAGUCUCUUAAGUUGACCAUUUAGUUGGAAAAGUCAAUCGGAAGUUGACUUGUGAGUAAAUGAUCUUGGAGUUUGGUUUUUAUGGUUCAGAUAACUUCGUUAGGUGAUUUGGGACUUAGGAGCGUGUUCGGAAUGUAAUUUGGAGGUCCGUGGUAGAUUUAGGCUUGAAUUAGCGAAAUUGAAAAUUUGACGUUUUCCGAUCGGCAAUGAAAAUCUUGAUAUAGAGGUCGGAAUGGAAUUCCGAAAAUUGGAGUAGGUCCGUAGUGUCAUUUUGUGACGUGUGUACAAAAUUUCAGGUCAUUCGGAGUUGAUUUGAUAGAUUUCGGCGUCGUUUGUGGAAUUUAAAAGUUUCUAAGUUCUUAGGCUUGAAUUCGAGGUUGCUUUGGUGCUUUAGUGUUGUUUUGAGUGAUUCGAAGGCUCGACUAAGUUUGAAUGAUGUUAUGGGAUGUGUUGACAUGUUUGGUUGAGGUCCAGAGGGCCUCUAGUGAGUUUCGGGAGGUUAUCGGACCAAAUUCAUGGUUUUGAGAGUUGCAGAUUUUUGCUGGUUUCUGUUGCAGAGGUUUGUUCUUCGCGUUCGCGAGAGAGCUCUCGCGUUCGCGAAGGGAUGUGGAAUGAGGCAGGUGAGUUGAUCUUCGCAUUCGCUAUGUUGGCCCCGCGUUCGCGAAGGUUGAGGCAGAGUGUGCAUCACGAAUGCGUGGCAGAGCUCGCGUUCGCGUAGAAGGGUGAAGUAGGCUUGGGCAUCAUGACAUAAGGCAUCGCGUUUGCGGCCAGAGGAAUGCGUUUGCGUAGGCCAAGCUAGUCAAGGCAUCGCGUUCGCGAAAGAGGAAAAGAUUGAGCAGGGAAUUUGUGGUUCGCGAACGCGAGGCUUUGACCCCGUUCGCGAAGAAGGGAGCACCUGGGCAGAAAGUAUAAAUAGAGGCCUUCACGGGUUUUAGCCCAUUUCUCAACAUUUUUGAACGGUUUUGAAGUUUUUUGAGAGGGAUUGAAGAGGGAUUCGAAGGGAGACACUUGGAAGUAAGGUUUUUGAACUCAAUACUCGAUUCUAUGGUGAUUUCUAACUAAUUAGACAUGAAAUUCGUGGUAUUUAAAGCCUAAAAUUGGAGAAUUAGGGCUUGAAAUUGGAGAGUGUAAAUUGGAAAUUUGAGGGGCCAUUUGAGUCCGAUUUUGAUGUUUUUGGUAUGUAUGGACUCGUGAGAGGAUAAGGAUUCUAUUGAUGUGAUUUUUAUCGGAUUCUGAGACAUGGGCCCGGGGGUCGGGUUUGACUUUUGAGAUUUUUAAUGUAAUUUGAUUAUUUUCGCAUGAGCUUUGUUCCCUUAGCAUAUAUUGAUGUUAUGGUUCUGAUUUUGGUUAGAUUCGGGGCAUUUGGAGGCUGAAUCGAGAGGCAAGGGCAUCGCGGGCUAGAGUUUGUCUUGGCUUGAGGUUAGUAAGACUUCCAAACUUGGUUCUGAGGGUUCGAAACCCCGAACUAUAUGUUCUAUGAUUACUAUUGAGGUGACGCAAAUGCCAAGUGACGGGCGUGUGGGCAUGCACCGUGAGAAUUGCGGCCUAGAUCAUUCCAUGGCACCGCUUAGUAACUCCUUCUUGUUGAUAUCCGUAUUUCUAUCAUGUGAUUAAAUAAAUGUGUUGUGAAAACAUGCUAGAAAUCCUGCUAGGGCUUCAUGCCGAUACUGUUGAGACCCGAGAGGUCGUUUCUUGCUAUCAUAUCAUUAGUUUCAUUAAUAUUCGGUGCUCAGUCUUGUUCAUGCAUUUUAUAUCAUGUUUUAGUCUCAGUUAUAACUAUUUGGCACAUCAUAUCAUUGUUUCGGACUAGUUUCAUGACAUUUUGAGCCCGUGAGUGUGAGACUGGAGAGUGAUGAUUGAGUGAAGCCGAGAGCCUGAUUGUGAGUGAUAGUUAUGGGAUCGGGCCACCCACCGCAGCGGUUAUGUUGAUGAUUAUGAUAGCGCUUGGGCUGUAGGAGCCCCUCCGGAGUCUGUAACACACCCCAGUGAGCGCAGUUGAUGAUAUUGAGGGAUGGAUCUUCCCUGGAUAUGGAUCUUGUCCGAAGUACUUAUACCUAGAGAUGGAUGUUCUCCACAAAGUUGGAAUGCCCAUCCUCGAUACUGGAUGACUGCGGUCAGCGAUAUGUAUAUAUCUCGGGAUGUAUCUUCCAUGGGCCGGAUGGCCAUAAACAGUACCGAGUGGUUGAGCACUUGUGAGAGGAGGUACAUGGAACAUUGAUCAUGUUAUAUGUGCAUUGGUACAUAGAGAUUUCCUGAGCUUUAUACUCCGUACUGUCAGACUGCAUUAUUUAUUGUUGAGUUUUUACAUGAACUGCAAGCAUGUCUACUUUCUGUACAAUUUAGUUGUAUUACCUGUAGAGGUUUGGUUCGUCACUACUUGUCAGUCCAUAGUUUGGACUUGUUACUUACUAAGUUGGUGUAUUCACGUUACCCCUUGCACCUUAUGUGCAGAUCUAGGUAUCUCGGGCCACUGUAGCGGUUGCUGAUCAUAUCAGUUGUGGACUUUCCUUAGAGAUAGCGAGGUAGCUGCCUGGAGAUCGCAGUUCUGCCUUCUCCUUCCUUAUCUUCCUCUUAGUGUAUUUGUUGGAUAUUCUCAGACUAUGUUAGUCUUGUUUAUUUCGAACAGUUUUAGUAUUUUGCUCAUAACUUAGUGACACCCAAGGCCGGGCUUGUAUUUUUCCACUUUGUUAAACUAGAUUUUAUAUCUUUAUUGGAUUUCUGUUGAAAAAUAGUUUUUCUCAAGUUUUAAAUGAAAAUGUAGUUCGUUUUGGAAAUGAGUUGGCUGGUCUAGUUUAACGAUAGGCGCCAUCACGAUCGGGUUAUUUUGGGGUCGUGACAAGGUUGUAUCAGAGCCUAGGUUACAUAGGUCUCAUGGGUCAUGAGCUUGUUUAGUAGAGUCUCGUGGAUCGGUACGGAGACGUCUGUACUUAUCUUUGGGAGGCUGCAGAACCUUUAGGAAAAACUUCACUUCUUGAAUUCUUGUCAUGCGAAUUUGUUGAUUCAAGUACUAAACUUCAGUUGUUCUAUUCUCUCACAGAUGGUGAGGAGACGACCACAAGUACCACCAGUUGGGGCCACUAGUGGUCGAGGUUGUGGUAGGGGCAGGGGUGUAGCACGCACAACAGCUAGGGCAGCACCUGCAGAUCUACCAACCGCCCCAGUUCAUGAUCAGGCUCCAGCGGAUGCUCCAGCAGUACCAGUUCAGGCACCGACUGUGCCUAUUGUUAUUCCGGGUCUCCGGGAGAUCUUGGCUCAGAUCUUGACCGUGUGCACUAGUCUUGCUCAGGCGGUCACAGUUUCUACUACAACAGCUAUUUCUUAGGCCGGGGGAGGCACUCAGACUCUCGCCGCUCGUACACCCAAGCAGGUUGUGGAGGGACUCUAGACACCAGAGGUACGACCAGCCCAGCCGGUUGCACCUACUCAGGAUUAUGUGGUUCCAGUUAUGCUUGAUGGCGAGUAGCGUCGAUUGGAGAGGUUUGGUAGACUUCAGCCUCCGACUUUCAAUGGUGCAAAGGGUGAGGAUGCCCAGGGUUUCUUGGACAAAUGUUAGAGGAUGUUACGUACAGCGGGUAUUCUGGAGACUAGUGGGGUCUCAUUUACUACCUUUCAGCUGACUUCACUUGGUGGGUGGCUUAUGAGAGGUGUAGGCCUGUUGGUGCAGCACCCCUUACCUGGCAGCAGUUCUCCACUCUCUUCCUGGAGAAGUAUAUGCCGCAGUCCUGCAGAGAGGAGCUGCACAGGCAGUUUGAACAGUUGCAUCAGGAUGAUAUGACUGUGAAGUAGUAUGAGAUGAGGUUUUCUGAGUUAGCCCGUCAUGUAGUCUGGUUGGUUACUACAGAUAGGGAGAGGAUCAGGAGAUUCGUGGAUGGCCUCGCUUAUCGGCUACAGAUUCUUAUGACCAGAGAGAGGGUGUCUGGUGCUUCUUUUGAGGAGGUGAUUGACAUUGCUCGAGAGAUAGAGUCGUUUCGCCGCUAGGAGCGAGUUGAGAGGGAGGCCAAGAGGCCUUGGGGAUCUGGCAGUUUUGGUGGUGUUCCUUUGGGAAGUCAGUUUCAGCACGGUAGAGGCCGUCCAUUCAGACAUGCUCAGCUAGCCCGUUCGGGCUACCGUGGUGGAUCAUCUGGCCACGGUUCUCACAGUUCACAUCAGGGUCACUCAUCUCUCAGUUCCCUUCCAGCUCAGAGUUCGACUCAGGCGCCAUCAGCUCAAGGCUCAUCUAUGUUGGGUUCUUCUAGUAGGCAUCCCCGUGCUCGGGGCUCCCUUCAGUCCCCACCGCCAUUUGCCGGGAGAGGUUGUUUCGAGUGUGGAGAUUUGGGUCAUAUUAAGAGGUUUUGUCCCUGUCUUACGGGAGGUUCAUCUCAGCAGAAGAGUCAGCCUUCGACUUCAGCACCAAUUACUUCCCCACCCGCUCAGUCAGCUCACGGUGGAGGUCAGUCAGCCAGGGGUCACCCUAGAGGGGGAGGACGAUCAGGUGGUGGUCAGGCCCAUUUCUAUGCCCUCCCAGCCAGACUAGAUACUAUUGCUUCAGAUGCUAUGAUUACAGGUAUUGUCUCAAUCUGCCACGGAGAUGCCACUGUAUUAUUUGAUCCUAGUUCCACUUUUUCAUAUGUGUCAUCAUAUUUUGCUCAUUACUUGGAUACGCCUCGCGAGUCUCUUGUUUUGUCUAUUCAUGAAUCUACUUCGGUGGGCGAUACUAUUAUUGUAAAUCGUGUAUAUCGGUCAUGUGUGGUGACUAUUGGGGGUUUGGAUACCCUAGUGGAUCUCUUGUUGCUUAGUAUGGUUGAUUUCUAUGUGAUAUUGGGCAUGUAUUGGUUAUCUCUGUGUCAUUCUAUCUUGGAUUGUCAUGCUAAGAUAGUGACAUUAGCUAUGCCGGGGUUGCCACGGAUUGAGUGGCAAGGUUCGACGGAUUAUGUUCCCAGUAGAGUGAUUUCAUUUUUGAAGGCCUAGCGGAUGGUUGGGAAGGGUUGUCUUUCUUAUCUGUCCUUCAUGAGGGAUGUUAGUACAAAGACUUCUACCAUUGAUUCAGUUCCAGUAGUGAGGGACUUUUCGGAUGUGUUUCUUGCAGACCUGCCGGGCAUGCCAUCGGACAGGGAUAUUGAAUUUGGAAUUGAUUUAGUGCCGGCCACUCAUCCCAUUUCUAUUCCACUGUAUCGUAUGGCACCGGUUGAGUUGAAAGAGUUGAAGGAGCAGCUUCAGGAACUCCUUGAUAAGGGGUUUAUUCGGCCUAGUGCGUCGCCUUGGGGUGCGCCUGUUCUAUUUGUGAAGAAGAAGGAUGGCACGAUGAGGAUUUGCAUUGAUUACAGGUAGUUGAACAAAGUUACAAUCAAAAACAAGUAUCCUUUGCCUCGUAUCGAUGAUUUAUUUGACCAGCUUUAGGGAGCGAGAGUGUUCUCCAAGAUUGAUCUCCGUUCAGGGUAUCACCAGCUGUAGAUCAGGGACUCGAAUAUUCUUAAGACAGCCUUCAGGACCCGAUAUGGUCAUUAUAAGUUCCUCGUGAUGUCGUUUGGGCGGACCAAUGUCCCAAUAGCGUUCAUGCAUUUGAUGAACAACGUGUUUCGGCCUUAUCUCGACUCAUUCGUUAUUGUAUUCAUUGAUGAUAUUCUGGUAUACUUGCGUAGUCAGGAGGAGCACGCGGAGCAUUUGAGAGUUGUGUUGCAUAGAUUGAGGGAGGAGAAGCUUUAUGCAAAGUUCUCCAAAUGUGAGUUUUGGCUAAGUUCAGUGGCUUUCUUGGGGCACGUGGUAUCCAGUGAGGGUAUUCAGGUUGAUCCGAAGAAGAUAGAUGCGGUUCAGAGUUGGCCCAAACCGUCCUCAGCCACAAAUAUUCGCAACUUUCUUGGUUUGGCGGGCUAUUACCGUCGCGUUUAGGGAUUUUCAUCUAUAGCAUCACCCUUGACCAAUUUGACUCGAAAGGGUGCUCCUUUCAUGUGGUCGGAUGAGUGUGAGGCGAGCUUUCAAAAUCUCAAGACUGCCUUGACCACAGCUCCAGUGUUAGUUUUUCUAUCAACUUCAGGUUCAUAUACAGUGUAUUGUGAUGCUUCGAGAGUUGGUAUCAGGUGUGUGUUGAUAUAGGAGGGUAGAGUGAUUGCUUAUGCUUCUCGUCAGUUGAAGCCCCAUGAGAAGAACUACCCCGUUCAUGAUUUGGAGUUGGAUGCCAUUGUCCACACGUUGAAGAUUUGGAGGCAUUAUCUCUAUGGUGUGUCUUGUGAGGUGUUUACUGAUCAUCGUAGCCUCCAACACUUGUUCAAGCAGAAGGAUCUCAAUUUGAGGCAGCGGAGAUGGUUGGAGCUGCUAAAGGACUAUGAUAUUACCAUCUUGUACCAUCCGGGGAAGGCCAAUGUAGUGGCUGAUGCUUUGAGUAUGAAGGCAGCGAGUAUGGGCAGUUUGCAUUUAUUCCUGUUGGAGAGAGAACUCUUGCAGUUGACGUUCAGGCCUUGGCCAAUCAGUUUGUAAGGAUGGAUAUUUUGGAGCCCGGGUGGGUCUUAACUUGUGUGCUUUCUCGGUCUUCCUUGUUCGAAAGCAUCAGAGAGAGCAAGUAUGAUGAUCCUCAUUUACUUGUCCUUAAGGAUAGGGUUUAGCACGACGAUGCCAGAGAUGUGACUAUUGGUGAUGACGGAGUAUUGAUGAUGUAGGGCCGGAUAUGUGUGCCCCAUGCAGAUGGGCUUCGAGAGUUGAUUCUGGAGGAGGCCCAUAGCUAGCGGUAUUUCAUCCAUCCGGGUGCCGCGAAGAUGUAUCAGGAUUUGAGACAGCAUUAUUGGUGGAGAAGAAUGAAGAAGGAUAUUGUGGGAUUUGUAGCUCGGUGUCUCAACUGACAACAAGUGAAAUAUGAGCAUCAGAUAUUGGGUGGCUUGCUUCAGCGGCUAGAUAUUCCAGAGUGGAAGUGGGAGCAGAUCACCAUGGAUUUUUUUGUUGGGCUCCCAUGGACUUUGAAGAAGUUCGAUUCUAUUUGGGUGAUAAUGGAUCGGCUGACCAAGUCCGUGCACUUCAUUCCUGUGUGUACUACCUAUUCUUCAGAGAGGCUGGAAGAGAUUUAUAUCCGAGAGAUUGUUCGCUUGCAUGGUGUCCCAGUUUCCAUCAUUUCAGAUAGAGGUACUUAGUUUACUUCGUAGUUUUGGAGGGCCGUGCAGAGAGAGUUAGGUACUCAGGUUGAGUUGAGCACAGCUUUUCACCCUCAGACGGACGGGCAGUCCGAGCACACUAUUCAGAUAUUGGAGGACAUGUUGCGUGCUUGUGUCAUUGAUUUUGGUGGUUCAUGGGAUUAGUUUUUACCGCUCGUGGAGUUUGCAUAUAACAACAGUUAUCAAUCGAGCAUUCAGAUGGCUCCAUAUGAGGCUUUAUAUGGGAGACAAUGUAGAUCUCCAAUUGGUUGGUUUGAGCCCGGCGAGGCUAGGCUUUUGGGUACAGACUUGGUGCAGGAUGCUUUAGACAAGGUGAAGGUGAUUCAGGAGUGUCUUCAUACAACGCAGUCAAGACAAAAAAGUUAUGCUGGCAGGAAGGUCCGUGACGUGUCUUACAUGGUUGGGGAGAAGGUUCUACUGAAGGUUUCACCCAUGAAGGGUGUUAUGAGAUUUGGGAAGAAGGGUAAAUUGAGUCCUCGAUUCAUUGGUCCUUUCGAGGUACUUCGGAGGAUUGGGGAGGUGGCUUAUGAGCUUGCUUUGCCACCCAGCUUGUUGAGUGUGCAUUCGGUGUUUCAUGUUUCUAUGCUCCGGAAGUAUAUUGGUGAUCCGUCUUAUGUUUUGGAUUUCAGCACGGUUUAGUUAGAUGGUUAUUUGACUUAUGAUGUGGAGCAAUGGCUAUUUUGGAGCGUUAGGUUCGAAAGUUGAGAUCAAAGGAUAUAGCUUCAGUCAAAGUGCAGUGAAGAGGUCGGCCCGUGGAAGAGGCUACCUAGAAGACCGAGCGGUAGAUGCAGAGCAAAUAUCCUCACCUAUUUGAGACUUCAGGUAUGUUUCUUAACUCGUUCGAGGACGAACGUUUAUUUAAGAGGGGGAGAAUGUAACGAUCUGACCGGUCAUUUCAUGAGUUACCGCUCCGUUUCCCCCCAUUUAUGCUUUCUUAUGUGUUGUUCAGCUACAUUUCAUCAUAUCGUGUUGGUUGGUUCGGGCUUGGAGUAGUUUUGGAGUAUUAUAAGACACUUAGUCUCAUAAGUUGGCCAUUUAGUUGGAAAAGUCAACCAGAAGUUGACUUGUGAGUAAACGAUCUCGGAAUUUGGUUUUUAUGGUUCAGAUAGCUUCGUUAGGUGAAUUGGGACUUAGGAACGUAUUCAGAAUGUAAUUUGGAGGUCUGUCGUAGAUUUAGGCUUGAAUUGACAAAAUUGGAAAAUUGGCAUUUUUCGGUCGGUAGUGGAAAUCUUGAUAUAGAGGUCGGAAUGGAAUUCCGGAAAUUGGAGUAGGUCCGUAGUGUCAUUUGUGACGUGUGUGCAAAUUUCAAGUCAUUCGGAGUUUGAUUUGAAAGGUUUCGGCGUCAUUUGUGGAAUUUGAAAGUUUCUAAGUUCUUAGGCUUGAAUCCGAGGUUGAUUUGGUGUUUUAGUGUUGUUUUGAGUGAUUCGAAGUCUCGACUAAGUUUGAAUGAUAUUAUGGGAUGUGUUGGCAUGUUUGGUUGAGGUCUCGUGGGCCUCGGGUGAGUUUCGGGAGGUUAUCGGACCAAAUUCUUGGUUUUGAGAGUUGCAGAUUUUUGCUAGUUUCUGUUGCAGAGGUUUGUUCUUCGCUUUCGCGAGAGGGCUCUUGCAUUCGCGAAGGGAUGUGGAGUGAGGCAGGUGAGUUUCUCUUUGCGUUCGUGAUGUUGGUCCCGCGUUCGCGAAGGUUGAGGCAGAGUGUGCAUCGUGAACGCGUGGCAGAGCUCGCGUUCGCGUAGAAGGGUGAAGUAGGCUUGGGCAUCAGGCCAUAAGGCAUCGCGUUUUCGGCCAGAGGAAAGCGUUUGCAUAGGCCAAGCUAGGCAAGGCAUCGCGUUCGCACGGUGGAGUUCGCGUUCGCGAAAGAGGAAAAGAUUGAACAUGGAUUUUGUGCUUCGCGAACGCAAGGCUUUGACCCCGUUCGUGAAGAAGGGAGCACCUGGGCAGAAAGUAUAAAUAGAGGCCUUCACGGGUUUUAGCCCAUUUCUCACCAUUUUUGAACGGUUUUGAAGCUUUUUGAGAGGGAUUGAAGAGGGAUUCGAAGGGAAACACUUAGAGGUAAGGUUUUUGAACUCAAUACUCGAUUCUAUGGUGAUUUCUAACUAAUUAGACAUGAAAUUAGUGGGAUUUAAAGCCUAAAAUUAGAAAAUUAGGGCUUGAAACUGGAAAGUGUAAAUUGGGGAUUUGAGGGGCCAUUUGAGGUCCGAUUUUGAUGUUCUUGGUAUGUAUGAACUCAUGGGAGGAUAAGUAUUCUAUUGAUGUGAUUUUUAUCGAAUUUCGAGACAUGGGCCCAGGGGUCGGGUUUGACCAAUUUCGGUAUUUUUGAUGUAAUUUGAUUAUUUUUGCGUGGGCUUUAUUCCCUUAGCAUAUAUUGAUGUUAUGGUUUUGAUUUUGGUUAGAUUCGGGGCAUUUGGAGACCGAAUCGAGAGGCAAGGGCGUCGCGGGUUAGAGUUUGGCUUGGCUUGAGGUAAGUAACACUUCCAAACUUGGUUUUGAGAGUUCGAAACCCCGAACUAUGUGUUCUAUGAUUACUAUUGAGGUGAAACAAAUGCCAAGUGACGGGCGUGUGGGCGUGCACCGUGAGAAUUGCGGCCUGGAUCAUUCCAUGGCAUUGCUUAGUAACUCUUUCUUAUUGAUAUAUGUGUUUCUAUCAUGUGAUUAAGUAAAUGUGCUGUGAAAACAUGCUAGAUAUCCUGCUAGGGCUUCACGCCGAUACUGUUGAAACCUGAGAGGUCAUUUCUUGCUGUCAUAUCAUUAGUUUCAUUGAUAUUUUGUACUCAGUCCUGUUCAUGCAUUUUAUAUCAUGUCUCAGUCUCGGUUAUAAUUAUUUGGCACAUCAUAUCAUUGUUUUAGGCUAGUUUCAUGACAUUGUGAGCCCGUGAGUGUGAGACUGAAGAGUGAUGACUGAGUAAGGCCGAGAUCCUGAUUGUGAGUGAUAGUUAUGGGAUCGGAAUGCAAGCCGCAGCGGUUAUGUUGAUGAUUGUGAUAGCGCUUGGGCUGUAGGAGCCCCUCCGGAGUCUGUAACACACCCCAGUCAGCGCAGUUGAUGAUAUUGAGGGAUGGAUCUUCCCUGAACAUGGAUCUUGUCCGAAGUAUUUAUACCUGGAGAUGGAUCUUCUCCACAGGGCUGGAAUGCCCUUCCUCGGUACUGGAUGACUGCGAUCAGCGAUGGUAAUAUAUUCGGGGAUGGAUCUUCCCUGGACCGGAUGGCCAUAUACAGUACGAGUGGUUGAGCACUUGUGAGAUGAGGUACACGGAACAUUGAUCAUGCUAUAUGUGUAUUGGUACAUAGAGAUUUCCUGAGCUUUAUACUCCGUACUGUCAGACUGCACUAUUUACUGUUUAGUUUUUACUUGAACUGCAAGCAUGUCUACUUUCUGUACAAUUUAAUUAUAUUACCUGUAGACGUUUGGUUCGUCACUACUUGUCAGUCCAUAGUUUGGACUUGUUACUUACUAAGUUGGUGUACUCACAUUACCCCCUGCACCUUGUGUGCAGAUCCAGGUAUCUCGGGCCACAGUAGCGGUUGCUGAUCAUAUCAGUUGUGGACUUUCCUUGGAGAUAGCGAGGUAGCUGCCUGGCGAUCGCAGUUCCGCCUUCUCCUUCCUAUCUUCCUCUUAGUGUAUUUGUUGGGAUAUUCUCAGACUAUGUUAGUNNNNNNNNNNNNNNNNNNNNNNNNNNNNNNNNNNNNNNNNNNNNNNNNNNNNNNNNNNNNNNNNNNNNNNNNNNNNNNNNNNNNNNNNNNNNNNNNNNNNNNNNNNNNNNNNNNNNNNNNNNNNNNNNNNNNNNNNNNNNNNNNNNNNNNNNNNNNNNNNNNNNNNNNNNNNNNNNNNNNNNNNNNNNNNNNNNNNNNNNNNNNNNNNNNNNNNNNNNNNNNNNNNNNNNNNNNNNNNNNNNNNNNNNNNNNNNNNNNNNNNNNNNNNNNNNNNNNNNNNNNNNNNNNNNNNNNNNNNNNNNNNNNNNNNNNNNNNNNNNNNNNNNNNNNNNNNNNNNNNNNNNNNNNNNNNNNNNNNGUUUUAAAUGAAAAUGUAGUUCGUUUUGAAAAUGAGUUGGUUGGCCUAGUUUCACGAUAGCUGCCAUCACGGCCGGAUCGUUUUGGGGUCGUGACAUUAUGAAUGGAAAUAGUAGUCGGCGUUGGUAGUGGUGUGAUGCUAAUAUUGUGUAGUUUUUAAGGAUAUGAUAUAUAAUUAAAAGUCAUCUUCACAAAAAUCAUGAAAUGAAUAACGUCAUAAUGAUUUGAUGUACAAGAUCCAGAUAAUUCAAUCCUAUUAAGAUUAAAUACAUAAUUUUAAAAAUACACUAAUGGACAAAAGUUUGAAUGAUUCAAAUUCAAACAUUCGUUAAGUGGAAACAGAUAGAAUGAGAUAGUUGUAAAAGAAUACACCUAAUUCAAUUCAGAUUUUAUUAAGUGAAAAUAAAUUAUGUAAAUUAGAUUUGUUACAUAAACGGUGAAUUAGAUCGAAACUAACUCGAGCAGAAGUGCGAGAUAGCAUUGUGUGAGAAAAAACAAACGCACUAAAUGAAUUAAAAUAUAAAUAAUUCAAGUCAAAUUUUGCAUUAAGCGAGAGAAUAAAGCUUCAACGUUUCCUUUGGAAUGAUGGAAAGAGCAAUCUCCAGAUAAAAUUUAAUAUUAUUAGUACGAUGUUUGGUUUCAUUUUUUGUUUUCACAUAAAACUAAACAUUAUUUAUACAAUAUUUUGUCCCAAUUUAUCUUUACUACACAAGUUAUAUGAAAAUUUAUGUACUAUUAUUUUAUGUAUGAUAGAAUGUGAAACUAAAAUGUAGGGAUUACUAUUACAUGGAUUAAAACUAAGGGUGUCUAACGGGUGGGCCGGGCGGGGCCGGGCUGGAUAGGGAAAGUUGGAACCGUUCGUAUUUCGAAUCGGGCCAGUUACAUGUUAGGGGUUACCGAGCUUAAUGGGUUCGAGUUCAUCCGGGUAAAAAAUAAACCGUAAGGGUUACGGGUACAAGAGGCCGGACCGGACCGGGUUAGUGUAAUUUUUAAUUUUUUUUUGUAUUUUGUAUAAUUAUUGUAAGUUAUAUUAAUAUAAAGUAAAAAUAUAAAGAAUACAAUGAAGAUGGAAAAAAAUUGCACUUACAAAUUGCAAGCGCUACAUUUAUUUCAAAAUUCAAACUUACAAAUUGAAAGGUUUACAUUUAACAACAAGUAAAUUAAAGAAAAAACAGUAAAUUCAAAGAUUUUGCAUUGCCUUAGUAAGUUCUACAUAAUUAAUAUGAAUUAAUUGGCCUUCUUCUGGAGUGUUAAAUUCAGAUGGGUUACCAUAUGUUAAUAUAUCUCCAAGUUCCUCGUUAGAAAAUCAGAAACAUUAAAAAAGAAAAUUGAAAGUAGCCGUUAUACCGGGCCGGGCCGGGCCGUUUAACCGGUUCUACAGUAAAUCGCGUUGACCGGGUUUGACCAAUCCGGUUAACAAGUUGCACGAAGGUGAACGGACCAACCCCCUUACCCUAUUAAUCCAACCCACCCGACCCCCUUUUAUCGGUCCGGGCUGGUUCCGGUUUCAACUGGGCUGGGCCGGUCCGGAAAUGGGUUGACCCGACUAUUAGACACCCUUAAUUAAAACUACUAAAUAACAAAGUAAGCCUUCACGUAAUAACCAAUAUUUUAUAUUGUUAAAAUAAAAAUAUUUUUUUAAAAUAUGCACUUCAUUUGGUAACACACAAAAAAAAAAAAAAAGGAAAUCCAAUAUGAAAUCCAGUGAUUUAUACAUUAUGCAUUACUAAAUACAUAUUGCUGAACCAAAAAAGUGCGAGAUAUCAGUCAGGAAAGCAAGAGAAAACGAAGAGAAAAGCUUGGAUUGAGCCUUCUGACAUGGCAAACCUGCCUCAGUCACUCUCAAUGCUCACCGCCUUUGGAGGAGGACCGGGCAACACAGCCUCGGCAUCUGCCGCUGCAACUCAGGACCGUAACAAAAUGCAAUCAGCAGAGCAACUCGUGCUUGAACUCAGCAACCCCGAUCUUCGAGAAAAUGCCCUUCUUGAACUUUCUAAGGUCCAAUUCCCAUUUCAAAAUUUGGCCUAUAACGUUUACCUUUCAUUUUAUGUUUUUGUAUAUUUUUUUUCCCAAUUUCGCAUUACUGUAAAGUGCCAUAUAUAAGCACGAGCUUAGGAUUUCCACCUGUGUGCUUGUUUUGCUGUAGCUGGGUUGCUUGGUAGAUUAAUCAAGUCGGUCCAAACACCAUCGUCAUUCAACAAUAGUAAAGAAUUGAGUGAAUUGAGAUAGUAUGUUGUUGAUGGUUGUUACUCAGGUGAAUUUUUUUCUUAAUAAAUUUGUAUGGAGAUUACAAAGUGGGAAAUCCAACCCUCAUCAAACAAGGUAAAAGUUCAGCCAGUUAAUCAACUAAACUACAAGAUUCCACAUUACUUAGUGAGUUCAAUUUUGGAAAUAUGACAGAAUUGUUCUUUUAGGAUUCCGGCAAUUUGGGAAGCGAAUUGAUGUCAAAGAAAGCAAUUUAAGGCAGCUUCUGGUGUGUCAGCUUUUAUAUCUUGUUUCAAGAGCUCUAAUCUUUGCUACAGUGACAGAACCCUUUCAGAAUUGGUUAAGAAGGUGUGCUACUUUUCAAGCCUGUGGCUAACACUCGUAGCUCCUUUGACUGUAGCAAUGCUCUCGAAAUUAGGUUCCCAAAUGUACUUGGAUUCUCCAAUUGGUUGGUUUGAAUAAUUAGUUUGAGAUAAGGGGCGCUAGCUUAAUAUCCCGCUUAAUGUAUUGCUGUUUAAGGUUAACUACGAUCUUUGGGUACUUUUUUUGUAGAGGAGUCUAAAACUAGUUACUGUUUUGGCUGUUCAAAACUCUAGAUCAUGUGAGUAUUUAACUACCUUUCCUAGAUGAGUUAUCAUCUUUGGAGAUUUAUGUGUUGCUUUUCUGAUAGGAACAUAUAUUAAUUGUUAAGGAAUACUAUCCCUUGAUAAGCCUCCGUGCUCUACAAAAAAAAGAAAAAAAGCAGACAAAAAGUUUUCUACCAGUCUAUAUUGAGACGAGAAGCCAUGGCCCUCCCUUCUCAAAUUCUCGACAUUCUCAGCGACUUGCUGAAAUUAAUAUUGAAAGACAAAAUGUAGAAAUUAUGCUUCAAAAUACCCGAAUAAUAUUUCUUGAGGCAUAUUUGCUCCGUGAACCUAGCUGCUAUUGAAGCCCGAAUGGAAGCAAGGCAUCAAAGGAUGCGGGAAGUAGAAGUUAUUAUGUAUUCUAAGGAGUAGAGUAGCAAAUAAGCAUGAGUACAGUUAAUUGAAUUGUUUUAGGUAAUAUGUCUUUUGUCUAUUUCCAAAUAAUACACUACUGGUUAUUUGAACGAAUAAACCAUCCAACUUUUGGAAAGACAGUCACCCUCACAAGCUUUUUCUUCAAGCAUUCAUAAGCAUUCCGCAGCAUCCAAUUCCCAAAAGGGAAAAAACAUAAAGAUAUAAGGUCACGUCUAGGCAAAAGCUUCUCGAUUAGGUUGGUACAAUUUAAUUAUUAUCUACUUUUGCAUUUCUUAGAGAUUUGAAUUUUAUUUUCAAGUAUAGUAGGUUUUAGUGAAUACCAAAUUGAAGAACAACUAUUAACUAUAGGAUGAAAUUACUUUUACUUGGUAUUGUCAGGAAAAGAACAUAAAAUAAUAGAGAAACAGAAAUUGUUUGAAACCGUAAUCAAGUUAGUAUCCAAAUCAAAAACAGAACUGAUAGUUGUAUUAUACUACAAUUUUUUCAAGUAUUUUUAGCAAUUACUUUGUUAUAUUCAUUUUUAAGGGACACAUAAGCAAUAUAGAUGUUAUAGCAUGUUAUAAUUCUACAAUAGUUGCAUUUCUGUCGAAGGAUAAAAGCAUAAUAAAAUGCCAAGAUCUGCUGGGGAUUUAAGCACAAAGACAAUUAAAUUGUGAGUUUUAGUAUUGAAAGGCACAAAUAGGGAAAAAUCAUAAAAAAGUUUAUAUAUAUAUUUACUGCAACAGAUAACUUUAAACACCUGCAACAAUUAUAUGAACAUGUAUUUAAAAGCCAACUGCAUGAAAUAAAACUCAAGUAAAUCAAGAUAGAAAACCAUGUCUAUUUUUGUGAUACUAAAUUUCUAAUUCACUGAGCAAUUAUAAUAUCACUUUGCUAGCUAUAUUUAUUAUUUCGUGCCGCCUUUUCAAGGAGCCCAUAGCUAUAAGGAGCAUGCUUUAGCGCCUUGCUGUCGACAUUGAAAUGGCACCUAUAUGAGCUGAAGUGCCUAAAGUAGCAUCUAGUUCUUAGGUGAGCGUCUUGUAACAUUGAAUAGAUCAUUGUCUUACUUCUACUGACUGUCUUUUUCUGUAGGGGUUUCGAUUCAGUAAGAAAUGAAAGGCAAUAAAUGGAAAAAUAACAGUUUUUCAAUGAGAAAGUUGGGAAGUUCUUGAUUGCGAACCCUUUCAUAUUAAUUAAGUUAGUGUUAUCACUAUCUUUUUGUUUUGUUCUGCUCUUUUUUUUUGUUGGUGGAAUCACCAUACCAAUUCUUUUUUUACACUUGUAGUUAGUGACUGCAGAUUUUCUAACAAACACAUAAUAUUCUUCCUGCCCUGGCUACUGGCAAGUGAACUGGCAAAUUUCUAUGCAAGCACUACACAGUAUUCUACUUUGUCAAAAGCAAAGCGAACCACAUCAGAGCUUGACUUUAAACUCCAGCCUUUUCCCUUUGGCUGAAAAUGAUAUGAUGGUUGAGGAUAACUACUAAUUUCUUCUGUCCUCCAAUGCUAAGUGCUAACAAUGAAGUUUUGGUGUCUGCCUUAGUGACUGUUAUUUUUUUGCUCACCUCUUUUAUCUAUAUAUGUGUACAAUGUCAGAUAACAUUUAAUUGACAUUUUAUACUAGAUAGUCUUCUUCUCCUUAUAUUCCGAUCCCCCCCCCCCAACCCCACCACCACCACCACACACACACACACAUACAGAGGAAAAGAAACUAUUAAUUAUGUUAUCCUUUUUCAGAAGAGGGAAUUAUUCCAGGACUUAGCCCCAUUGCUAUGGAACUCAUUUGGUACUAUCGCUGCGCUCUUACAGGUAAUCUUUGAAGUGUUUCAUUCUAAUUCUAGAAAUUUUAUCUUCAUAAAAAUUUUCUUAACAAAAAAAAAAAAAAAAAAAUUCUAUAAAUUUUAUCCCAUCUGUAAGAUGCACAUGCAUACCCACCUUAUAUUGUAACAUCUGCCACAUCUUCCAUCUGUUUGAGCAGACAUUUCUUAGUGGCCCACUGUUAGAUUGGUGGUGCUUUGCACUUUGUGGCAUUAAGCAGAAGGACUCAAUGAAACAUCUGGAUGACCUUGCAGUCCAAAACCAGGCUGUAUACUUUUUGAACAAAGUGUGAGCCAUAUCUCAGCGAAUCAAAUGAAAGUGAAAUAGCAGAGGAGUGAUGUAGAAUGCCAUUGCGGAAAGUUGUUAUCAAUUUAUUUUAGUUGAAAUUUAGGAGUAGAACCUGCAUGUUAUCUUUUGUUUAUGGAAUGACUGAGAUAUUAAAAUGGUAAAAUAUUAAAAUUCUUGCAUUUUCCUACGAUGAUAAAAGAGGUUUGUGAAAUGUUUUUUGGGAGGGGGGGGGGGGGGGGGAGACGAGGGGAAGCAGAGCUGUGGUCCCCCAUUGCUAUUGCUCGUUCUUCCCUUGCUGUAAUCUGUACUCAGAUGAUGGCAUGUUGCUUGUCUCAGUGAAGGAAACUGGAUAAUUUGUGAAUUGUUGGUGGGAGAGAAAAAAUGGAUGUAAAUGAUGGUGGAUGAAGACUGGAAUGAGUAUAUGGGAAGAGCACUAAAUGAGAAUCUUGAUGUUGUUUUUUGGUUGGAUAUAACUGACAAGAAAGGAGCUAAAUUCACUAGCAAACAGCUUUCAUCUCUGUCGAAUAUCCAACACUUAUGACAUCCUAAAGCUCCAGCUAAGCAGAUAAUUUCAAGCUGUUAAGUGACGCAAGCUAGGAUAUGCCAAAGAGAAAGGUAAUUUGGAGCGUUGUCUAACUUGCUGGAGAAUGUUCCAGCAGAGGUCCUCAUAGAAGUAGUGGCCUGGCUGUUUCUCGCCUUGACAGAUUUUUUCUAUUGCAAGAAGUAGAAAAUGAUAUACUCCUUCCAAUAGAAAAUGGGUCCCAACAGAUUGAUUUUCAGUUAUGAAUGUUUUACUUGGAACAUGACAGCUAUUUUUUUUUUAUUGAUUUUACUUUGUCCAUAUUGAUUUUUUUUACAUGCUUGCAGGAGAUAGUUUCCAUCUACCCUGUUUUGUCACCGCCAAACCUGACUCCAGCACAAUCUAAUAGAGUUUGUAAUGCUUUAGCACUUCUUCAGGUAUAUAGAUUUCUUUUCCAUAUGGAGUUAUUCUCAAAUGAUUCUUCAUGAUGUUUCCUUUAAUCAUCUCUCAUCGACAAUGUGUAAAGUCAUGAGUUAUUGCCAUGUAAUGUUUUCCUUCAUAAGAAGUAACAGCUUUAUACUACCCAAAAGAGCCUUUUCAGUUAGGAACAUUUAUUCAGCUGUAGGAUGUAGACACUUGGAUAUGUUUGGGGUUGUGGUUUAUGUAUCAAGAGGGAGAAAGGAGAACACCGUACUUCAAUGGUAUUGCGAGAAGCAGUACCAAGCAUGUUUCCGUCUUUACUGCUAUCACCAAAAGUAGUUCGAUGUUGUUCAAAGCCUUGUAUCUCGUCAAUUACAGUAUACUGUACAUUUCAGUCUCAAUUGACUGAAAGUGAGGUCAUUGUAAAAACAGGGUUCAUGAUUUUGGUUUCUAUUAAUGUAUAUCCAAUCAUGGUCUGCAUUCCAUGUCUUUGGUGAAAAAUAGAGAAAUGACAGAAUGAUUGUCAAUGCAGAAAUGACACAAUGAUUGCAAUGCACCCGCAGGUAUAGUCUCAAAACUUCUAUAAUAAUCUUUCUCCUCUUUCCUCUCUCAAUAUAUGCAAGUUCAAAAGAAAGCUAAGCAACGGU
RNAcentral lists this long non-coding RNA (41288 nucleotides) under Nicotiana tabacum (common tobacco). RNAcentral describes it as "long non-coding RNA (NTAB_LNC007429)". Lineage: Eukaryota; Viridiplantae; Streptophyta; Magnoliopsida; Solanales; Solanaceae. The record is from RNAcentral.